AUGGAGGUCCUGCUGCUCCUGGCCGUCCUCUUCUAUCUGGCCAUUCUUCUCCGGCAAAGAACUAGGAGGUCCCGUGCUCAGACGACCCUUCACAAGGUUGUCGACACCGCCGCCGCCCACCACGCGCUGAACGAGAAAGCGAGCGCCUUCUCGAACCGCCCCGCCGCCAUCUUCCCGGUGGUCCUGGCCACCGGGCUUAGCGGCGAACGGAACGAGAACAUAACCACGGUCAAGUAUGGCCCCCACUGGCGCGCGCUCCGGUGCAACCUCAUGGCCAAGAGCCUCCACCCCUCGCGUCUCGGUUCCCUCGCCCCGAUGCAACGGGAGGCCAGCCAGGCCCUCGUCGCCGACCUGUCCGGACUUGUCCGGGACGCAACCGGCAACGUGCUCGUUGUCCGUGGCCACAUCAACACCGCCGUGUUCGGGCUGGUCGCGCGCCUGUGCUUCGGCGACGGCGUUGACGUGGGCCAUGUGCGCGCCAUGGAGCUCGUGAUACAGGACUUUAUCGUCUCCAUGGGGGAGCUCAACCCUGUGUUCGACGGCACGAUGUUGUGCAAGCUCAUGAACUGGAGGCGGCUUGGACGGCUCUUCGCCUUCCUCGGCCGGCAGACCAAGCUGUUCCUCCCCCUCAUCAACGAGCGAAGGCGGCCCGAGUCUCGGUCCUGCACCGCCGAUGGCGGCGUCGAACCGUACGUCCAUUCAUUCCUUGAUCUACGUGUCCCCGACGACGAUGCUGGCGGCAAGCAGGGAAAGGACGCCCGGCGCGAGCUCCGGGACGACGAACUGGUGAGCCUCGUGUCGGAGUUCCUCGGCGCCGGCUCGGGUUCGGUCGUGGCCAGCUUGGAGUGGACCCUCGCCCACCUCGUGGACCAGCCGGACGUCCAGGACAUGCUGCGUCGGGAGAUCAUCGACGGUGAGACCAGUAAUGGCGGGGUAAUCUCCACCAAGAGCCUCCGCGGCAUGCCGUACCUGCACGCCGUGGUGAUGGAGAGCCUCCGCAUGCACCCACCCGUGCCGUUCAUCCUGCGCGGCGUCCACGGCGAGGGUGCCGCGACGGUAGGCGCUACGUUGGCGGCCGUGCCAGCUGAUGGCCUGAGGGUACAGUUCAUUGUUGGCGACAUUGGGAGGGAUAGCAAGACGUGGACGGACCCGGACGAGUUCCGGCCAGAGCGGUUCCUCGCCGGAGGUGAGGCAGAGGGCAUCGGGCCAACACCAGGCCCCAAGGAGAUCCGGAUGAUGCCGUUCGGGGCGGCGCACAGGCACUGCCCUGGCUCGAGCCAGGCGAUGGUGAACAUCAAGUUCUUCCUGGCCGCGCUUGUACGCGAGUUCGAGUGGGCGGCGCCGGCGGAUGACUGCAGCGUCGACCUCACAGAGCUCGACGGGUUCUUCAAGGUCAUGAAGAAACCACUUUCGGCGCGUGUCACACGGCGCACUCAAGUCGUGUAA
This 1446-nucleotide ribosomal RNA is filed under the name Triticum aestivum (bread wheat). RNAcentral describes it as "partial small subunit ribosomal RNA". Lineage: Eukaryota; Viridiplantae; Streptophyta; Magnoliopsida; Poales; Poaceae. The record is from RNAcentral.